This 860-nucleotide ribosomal RNA is filed under the name Pseudodiscina melaleucoides. Its description in RNAcentral is "Gyromitra melaleucoides partial large subunit ribosomal RNA". It matches the Rfam family "Eukaryotic large subunit ribosomal RNA", at positions 69 to 941 of the family's 3401-position model. Lineage: Eukaryota; Fungi; Ascomycota; Pezizomycetes; Pezizales; Discinaceae. The record is from RNAcentral.
CAGGGAUUGCCUCAGUAACGGCGAGUGAAGCGGCAACAGCUCAAAUUUUAAAGCUGGCGUCUUCGGCGUCCGCAUUGUAAUUUGGAGAGGCAUCUUCGGUUAGGGCGCCAGCCUAUGUUCCUUGGAACAGGACGUCACAGAGGGUGAGAAUCCCGUGCCUGGCUGGAUGUCCCUUUCCAUGUGAAGUGUCUUCGACGAGUCGAGUUGUUUGGGAAUGCAGCUCAAAAUGGGUGGUAAAUUUCAUCUAAAGCUAAAUAUUGGCGGGAGACCGAUAGCGCACAAGUAGAGUGAUCGAAAGAUGAAAAGCACUUUGAAAAUAGAGUUAAAAAGUACGUGAAAUUGUUGAAAGGGAAGCGCUUGAGACCAGAGUCGGCCGUGGAUGAUCAGCCGCCCUUAUCGGACGGUGCACUCGUCUGCGGUCGGGCCAGCAUCGGUUGAGCCGGCGGGACAAAGGCUCGGGAAAUGUGGCUCCCUUCGGGGAGUGUUAUAGCCCCGGGCGCAAUGCCGUCAGGCUCGACCGAGGACCGCGCUUUUAUGCUAGGAUGCUGGCGUAAUGGUCUUCAGCGACCCGUCUUGAAACACGGACCAAGGAGUCUAACAUCUAUGCGAGUGUUCGGGUGUCAAACCCCUGCGCGUAAUGAAAGUAAACGGAGGUGGGAACCCUUUCGGGGGCGCACCAUCGACCGAUCCAGAAGUCUUCUGAAGGAUUUGAGUAGGAGCAUAGCUGUUGGGACCCGAAAGAUGGUGAACUAUGCCUGAAUAGGGUGAAGCCAGAGGAAACUCUGGUGGAGGCUCGCAGCGGUUCUGACGUGCAAAUCGAUCGUCAAAUUUGGGUAUAGGGGCGAAAGACUAAUCGAACC